UCUCCGUACAUCGAAUUUAAAGUGAGGUUGUAGUAGAGCUACACUUUUUGCAGGCGUUAUCUCCCUUGACCUUAAUUCCGCAGGCUACUGUGAUGAUGACAACAAUCAGUCGUGCAGUGUUGGCGAUUUCUUAACGUCGCCGUUGUGCUCACAUUCUUCUUGGAAUGAUUCAACAGUAGAGUUUUACAUGCGAAACAUACGAUGAGUUACAAAAGAGAAGACAAUUCGGCCCGUCUAUUUGGUAGGUAGUAGUUAAUUUAGUGAUUUAUUGACCCGAGGAUAUCAUCCCCUUUCUUGAAAGAAGACAGGGUACCGGGUUAAAAAAUAAUACUGGACAGAUUAUACCAUUAUCCAUAAGGGAUACGUGGUUUAUGUUUUGUGUAUCGAAGCUUGCUUGUGAUAAUGGUUCUUGCGUUGCUGUUACUACAGUCCGCUGCUAUUGACAAACUUAUUUCUCACCAGUAGAUGGCAGAAGUGUACACCUCCAUGAACCGAUUGCGCGCUGAAAUGUGACGUACUGCGUUUCAAAGUGAAAGCUUGGUCGUGAAGAUAAUACAGGACCAGGGAUGUCUUUUAUCUGAGCCUCCUAGUGCAGAUCCUGCUGAGUUUCAUCCAUCCGUUUCCUAACUGCUGUAUCCACUGAGGAGUCACAGGGGACCCGGAACCUAUCUCAGGGGCAAGAUGGGAGCUUCGUGUCUGCACAUGCAUUCCCCGUGUAAUUCAUUCAGUGUCAACACAGGACAGCUUUCACACACACAGGUAAAUCAGAGCUGAAAGGGAUCAUCAAGUGCUUUUUCAGUGAAAAAGAGAAAGUCUUCCUAAUGAACAUGUGUAUGCAUAGAGGUCCUGUUCUGCUUUUUUCUUCCAUUGUACUUAAUGGUGAAAUUGAAGUACAAGGAUUUACAUGAAUACAUGCCACUUUAAUUAAAAUGUGUUUUCUUUGAAAGAGUGAUACUUAUGAGCCCUCCAAAACAUCCACUGCAUCAUUUAAGAGAUCUAAGUAAAUGAAUCAUUUAGGAUUCAACUCUGGUGACAUUUCAAAGUUGGCUUCACUUUGUGGGUGACAUUACAUGCUGGUCUACAAUUUGAUACUUUAGGCAGAGCAGGGGUUAUAGUGGCAGUCUCAUCUGAACUAUAACAGUACAGUGUACCUGAAGAAACAUAUUGGCUCAUCAGCGAAUAAAAAGGAGCCUUCAUUUUCUUCCUGCGGUGUUUGCUUCAUGUAGAUCAGUUUUUAGACGGUAACUGUUAAUGUAAGCCGUCAAAACUGAAUUCCCCUCUUGAGAAAAUAA
This is a long non-coding RNA of Lepisosteus oculatus (spotted gar), 1292 nucleotides long. RefSeq lists it as uncharacterized. The record is from RefSeq and is a predicted model, not a curated record. NCBI's taxonomy places the organism in Eukaryota, Metazoa, Chordata, Actinopteri, Semionotiformes, Lepisosteidae.